AAGCCAACCACAGAAAAAGCCAGCUCAGUUCGGAUUGUAGUCUGCAACCCGACUACAUGAAGCUGGAAUCGCUAGUAAUCGCGAAUCAGAAUGUCGCGGUGAAUACGUUCCCGGGCCUUGUACACACCGCCCGUCACACCAUGGGAGUUUGUAACACCCGAAGUCAGUAUCCUAACCGCAAGGGGGGAGCUGCCGAAGGUGGGAUAAGCGACUGGGGUGAAGUCGUAACAAGGUAUC
RNAcentral lists this ribosomal RNA (237 nucleotides) under uncultured bacterium. Its description in RNAcentral is "partial 16S ribosomal RNA". It matches the Rfam family "Bacterial small subunit ribosomal RNA", at positions 1265 to 1500 of the family's 1533-position model. The record is from RNAcentral.